RNAcentral lists this transfer RNA (74 nucleotides) under Bradyrhizobium sp. SK17. Its description in RNAcentral is "tRNA-Ser". It matches the Rfam family "tRNA". Rfam says of the family: Transfer RNA (tRNA) molecules are approximately 80 nucleotides in length. Their secondary structure includes four short double-helical elements and three loops (D, anti-codon, and T loops). Further hydrogen bonds mediate the characteristic L-shaped molecular structure. tRNAs have two regions of fundamental functional importance: the anti-codon, which is responsible for specific mRNA codon recognition, and the 3' end, to which the tRNAs corresponding amino acid is attached (by aminoacyl-tRNA synthetases). tRNAs cope with the degeneracy of the genetic code in two manners: having more than one tRNA (with a specific anti-codon) for a particular amino acid; and 'wobble' base-pairing, i.e. permitting non-standard base-pairing at the 3rd anti-codon position. The record is from RNAcentral. Lineage: Bacteria; Pseudomonadati; Pseudomonadota; Alphaproteobacteria; Hyphomicrobiales; Nitrobacteraceae.
GCAUCGGUAGCUCAGCUGGAUAGAGCGCCUGUCUGCUAAACGGGGGGUCGCUGGUUCGAGCCCAGUCCGGUGCA